Molecule: ribosomal RNA, 460 nt
Filed under: uncultured bacterium
Lineage: Bacteria
Description: partial 16S ribosomal RNA
Rfam family: Bacterial small subunit ribosomal RNA
Source: RNAcentral
CCUACGGGUGGCAGCAGUGAGGAAUAUUGGUCAAUGGGCGCGAGCCUGAACCAGCCAAGUCGCGUGAGGGAAGACGGUCCUAUGGAUUGUAAACCUCUUUUGUCGGGGAGCAAAAGCCGCCACGCGUGGCGUUCCGAGAGUACCCGAAGAAAAAGCAUCGGCUAACUCCGUGCCAGCAGCCGCGGCAAUACGGAGGGUUCAAGCGUUAACCGGAUUUAUUGGGUUUAAAGGGUGCGUAGGCGGUUCGAUAAGUUAGAGGUGAAAUCCCGGGGCGCAACUCGGGCACUGCCUCUGAUACUGGCAGGCUAGAGUUUAGUAGCGGUAGGCGGAAUGUAAGGUGUAGCGGUGAAAUGCAGAGAGAUCAUACAGAACACCGAUUGCGAAGGCAGCUUACCAAACUACGACUGACGUUGAGGCACGAAAGCGUGGGGAGCAAACAGGAUUAGAUACCCGUGUAGUC